AACGAACGCUGGCGGCAGGCUUAACACGUGCAAGUCGAACGGUUGUAGCAAUACAGCAGUGGCGCACGGGUGAGUAACGCGUGGAUAUCUGCCUCUUGGUUCGGAAUAACUCCGGGAAACUGGAGCUAAUACCGGAUGGUUCCUACGGGAUAAAGAUUUAUCGCCAAAAGAUGAGUCCGCGUACGAUUAGCUAGUUGGUGGGGUAAUGGCCCACCAAGGCGACGAUCGUUAGCUGGUCUGAGAGGACGAUCAGCCACACUGGGACUGAGACACGGCCCAGACUCCUACGGGAGGCAGCAGUGGGGAAUAUUGGACAAUGGGGGCAACCCUGAUCCAGCCAUGCCGCGUGAGUGAUGAAGGCCUUCGGGUUGUAAAGCUCUUUUGGCGGGGACGAUGAUGACGGUACCCGCAGAAUAAGCCCCGGCUAACUUCGUGCCAACCGCCGCCGUAA
This 451-nucleotide ribosomal RNA is filed under the name uncultured bacterium. RNAcentral describes it as "partial 16S ribosomal RNA". It matches the Rfam family "Bacterial small subunit ribosomal RNA", at positions 29 to 523 of the family's 1533-position model. The record is from RNAcentral.